CCUACGGGAGGCAGCAGUAGGGAAUUGUUCGCAAUGGGCGAAAGCCUGACGACGCAACGCCGCGUGGAGGAUGAAGACUUUCGGGUCGUAAACUCCUUUCGACCGAGAUGAACAUUCGCCGGCCUAACAUGCCGGCGAACUGACAGUAUCGAGGGAAGCAGCCCCGGCUAACUCCGUGCCAGCAGCCGCGGUAAUACGGGGGGGGCAAGCGUUGUUCGGAAUUACUGGGCGUAAAGGGUUCGUAGGUGGCCCUCUAAGUCAGACGUGAAAUCCCUCAGCUCAACUGGGGAACUGCGUCUGAGACUGGAGGGCUUGAGUGCAGGAGAGGAACGCGGAAUUCCAGGUGUAGCGGUGAAAUGCGUAGAUAUCUGGAGGAACACCGGUGGCGAAGGCGGCGUUCUGGACUGUUACUGACACUGAGGAACGAAAGCCAGGGGAGCAAACGGGAUUAGAUACCCGGGUAGUC
This 466-nucleotide ribosomal RNA is filed under the name uncultured Acidobacteriota bacterium. Its description in RNAcentral is "bacterial SSU rRNA". It matches the Rfam family "Bacterial small subunit ribosomal RNA", at positions 338 to 795 of the family's 1533-position model. Lineage: Bacteria; Pseudomonadati; Acidobacteriota. The record is from RNAcentral.